RNAcentral lists this ribosomal RNA (438 nucleotides) under uncultured bacterium. RNAcentral's name for it is "bacterial SSU rRNA". It matches the Rfam family "Bacterial small subunit ribosomal RNA", at positions 954 to 1392 of the family's 1533-position model. The record is from RNAcentral.
GCAUAACGCGAAGAACCUUACCUGGUCUUGACAUCCAGAGAACUUAGCAGAGAUGCUUUGGUGCCUUCGGGAACUCUGAGACAGGUGCUGCAUGGCUGUCGUCAGCUCGUGUUGUGAAAUGUUGGGUUAAGUCCCGCAACGAGCGCAACCCUUAUCCUUUGUUGCCAGCGGUUCGGCCGGGAACUCAAAGGAGACUGCCAGUGAUAAACUGGAGGAAGGUGGGGAUGACGUCAAGUCAUCAUGGCCCCUACGAGUAGGGCUACACACGUGCUACAAUGGCGUAUACAAAGAGAAGCGACCUCGCGAGAGCAAGCGGACCUCAUAAAGUACGUCGUAGUCCGGAUUGGAGUCUGCAACUCGACUCCAUGAAGUCGGAAUCGCUAGUAAUCGUAGAUCAGAAUGCUACGGUGAAUACGUUCCCGGGUCUUGUACACACCG